ACUCAAAGGAAUUGACGGGGGCCCGCACAAGCGGUGGAUUAUGUGGUUUAAUUCGAAGCAACGCGCAGAACCUUACCUAGGCUUGACAUCCCACGACAAACGUAGAAAUACGUCUUUGUAGCAAUACACGUGGAGACAGGUGCUGCAUGGCUGUCGUCAGCUCGUGUUGUGAAAUGUUGGGUUAAGUCCCGCAACGAGCGCAACCCCUGGAUUUAGUUGCCAGCAUUAAGUUGGGCACUCUAAAUUAACUGCCAGCGUUAAGCUGGAGGAAGGUGGGGAUGACGUCAAGUCCUCAUGGCCCUUACGCCUAGGGCUACACACGUAAUACAAUGGAUAGGACAAAGGGUCGCGAACCUGCAAGGGGGAGCUAAUCUCAAAAACCUAUCCUCAGUUCGGAUUGGGGGCUGCAAUUCGCCCCCAUGAAGGCGGAAUCGCUAGUAAUCGUGGAUCAGAACGCCACGGUGAAUACGUUCCCGGGCCUUGUACACACCGCCCGU
Molecule: ribosomal RNA, 497 nt
Filed under: uncultured bacterium
Lineage: Bacteria
Description: bacterial SSU rRNA
Rfam family: Bacterial small subunit ribosomal RNA
Source: RNAcentral